CUACGGGGCGCAGCAGUGGGGAAUAUUGGACAAUGGGGGAAACCCUGAUCCAGCAAUGCCGCGUGUGUGAAGAAGGCCUGCGGGUUGUAAAGCACUUUCGGUUGGGAGGACUGCUUCUAGCACUAAUAUUGUUGGAAGUUGACGUUACCUUCAGAAGAAGCACCGGCUAACUCCGUGUCAGCAGCCGCGGUAAUACGGAGGGUGCAAGCGUUAAUCGGAAUUACUGGGCGUAAAGCGCGCGUAGGCGGCUAGAUCAGUCGGGUGUGAAAGCCCCGGGCUUAACCUGGGAACUGCAUCCGAUACUGUCUAGCUUGAGUACAGGAGAGGAGAGUGGAAUUCCACAUGUAGCGGUGAAAUGCGUAGAUAUGUGGAGGAACACCAAUGGCGAAGGCAGCUCUCUGGCCUGAUACUGACGCUGAGAUGCGAAAGCGUGGGGAGCAAACAGGAUUAGAUACCCUUGUAGUC
RNAcentral lists this ribosomal RNA (465 nucleotides) under uncultured bacterium. Its description in RNAcentral is "partial 16S ribosomal RNA". It matches the Rfam family "Bacterial small subunit ribosomal RNA", at positions 339 to 795 of the family's 1533-position model. The record is from RNAcentral.